CCUGCUGAGCCAUCUCUCCAGCCCCUAGAUUCAGUUCUUACAAGAAAUGCAGGAUGAGGGGCUGGAGAGAUGGUUCAGCAGU
This 82-nucleotide microRNA precursor is filed under the name Cricetulus griseus (Chinese hamster). RNAcentral describes it as "mir-3473 microRNA precursor family". It matches the Rfam family "mir-3473 microRNA precursor family". The record is from Rfam by way of RNAcentral. Lineage: Eukaryota; Metazoa; Chordata; Mammalia; Rodentia; Cricetidae.